UAAUACUGAUAACAGAAAUCUGGAUUUUAUUUAGAUAUUCAGUCAUUAAGUAACAAUCACAUCUGCAGCAUCAUUCAGCUUUAAAAAUAUCUCUCGACUUUCAAUUUAUAGCCAAAAGAAAAAAAAUAAUAACAAUGUAAAGAUUCAGAUGUUCAAGUAAUCCUUCUCAGCCAUUUUUUAAAUAAAUAAAAAAUCAAGAGGCAGUAACAGAUUCAGAACAAUUAGUAUUCAUGUGAGGACACUGUGAAUCUGCAGCAGUUUAAAACAGGAAACAUGUCAGCUGACAUUUCCACUGACGACUACAUACAAGACAAGUUAUACUGGGAAAGGAGAGUGUCAGUAAAAUGUGCUGAGUGUAAAGUUGUCAGUCGGGGAAUAACACAGGGCUGUGAAUGAGCCCUGUCACUGUGAUCAGGCUCCUCCUUCUGAUCCACCAACUUAGUGUUGAUGAAGACUCAACAGAGAUCACAGCCUUCUUUAUACUCGCUGUAGCUCACAGUUACUCAACACUGCAGACAUGACGCCUCUGUUCAUCUCGGUGUUGCUGGCUGCUGUGUGCCUUGAAUGCAGAGCACAAAAAGACAACGUGCUGCAAACAAAAGAAGAUGUGACUGCUACUGAAGGAGAGGCAGUAACACUUGGCUGUCAAUAUAACAGCAGUUCAACAAAUGAUAAUCUCUUCUGGUACAAACAGGAUGGAGACAACAGCCCCAAAUUCAUACUGAGCCGCUUUAACACACCAGACGAGUUUAAGGAGAGAUUUUCAUCCACACUGGAUUCCACCUUAAGAUCAGUUCCUCUGAAGAUCCAGAAGCUUCAGAUGUCUAACUCUGCUGUGUACUACUGUGCUCUGCAGCCCACAGUGACAGGAAACACCAAGACUCUGUACAAAAACCUUUGGAGCAAAGACAACAGAAUACUCCACAACGUCCACUAGAGGGAGUCACACACUGUUAACCUUCAGUGAUAUGUGAUGAUACAGUCUGGAUUCUUUGUACUGAUGAUACAAACUUAAGAAAAACGUUGAGUCUUGAAAACAUUGCACAAAACAACAUCAUUUAUUCAGUCCUGUUGUUUCCAGAUUAACCAUACAGGCCUAAUGCAGAGAGUAUUUAUCACGGGUGUGAGAUGCAACAAGAAGCUGGCCAGUGUUCAACACCUGUGAAGGAAAGUGUGGUGACUGAUGAUGACCACUUGCUGGUUGAAUCCAAGCUGGCCUGAUUUCCAAUUGGACAAACAAAGCUUACUUCAACUUCCAAUAUUUUAUUCCCAACAAAGCAUUAUCACAAGUACAGGUUCACCAGGGCAUGUUUAAAGAGAUAUUAAAUAUACAUAUAAACAGCUGGCAAGUAUCCUUAAAGUAGUUUAAACACACCAGAUCUAUUUUUAGGUUACAAAGGAAAUAUCAAAGUAUCACAACACCAUUGGUAAAAACCCAUACCAACAGUAGGUGCAAUUUUCUUAAAUGGCCAUUAGGUGUCAGGUUAAGACCAUCAGGGUGAAUUAUGACAAUGAGCCACUGCCCACUACUACGAAAGAUACCUGAUCCAGAGCAGUUGGCCGUUAACAUAAGCACUUGCAAAUGUAACGUUAGCAAUAACCCAACUAGCAACAUCCUCCAUGCCGUGCAGCCCGUGUAGCAGUCUGUCGCCCACACCGGGAUCCAGUUCCGGGUGAGGGGAGUGCAGCAGCACUCCACCUUAGUCCUGCUGUGGACU
Molecule: non-coding RNA, 1718 nt
Organism: Siniperca chuatsi (mandarin fish)
Lineage: Eukaryota; Metazoa; Chordata; Actinopteri; Centrarchiformes; Sinipercidae
Source: the annotation of a RefSeq genome assembly